UUGUCCUACGGGAGGCAGCAGUGGGGAAUAUUGGACAAUGGGGGAAACCCUGAUCCAGCGACGCCGCGUGAGUGAAGAAGUACUUCGGUACGUAAAGCUCUAUCAGCAGGAAAGAAAAUGACGGUACCUGACUAAGAAGCCCCGGCUAACUACGUGCCAGCAGCCGCGGUAAAACGUAGGGGGCGAGCGUUGUCCGGAAUGACUGGGCGUAAAGGGUGCGUAGGCGGCAUAAUAAGUUAGAAGUGAAAUACCCAGAGCUUAACUCGGGUGCUGCUUCUAAGACUGUUGAGCUUGAGUGCGGGAGG
RNAcentral lists this ribosomal RNA (305 nucleotides) under uncultured bacterium. RNAcentral describes it as "bacterial SSU rRNA". It matches the Rfam family "Bacterial small subunit ribosomal RNA", at positions 334 to 655 of the family's 1533-position model. The record is from RNAcentral.